Long non-coding RNA from Oryza brachyantha (malo sina), 666 nucleotides. RefSeq lists it as uncharacterized. Lineage: Eukaryota; Viridiplantae; Streptophyta; Magnoliopsida; Poales; Poaceae. The record is from RefSeq and is a predicted model, not a curated record. The transcript has 3 exons.
UCAGGAGCGUUAUCCAUCGCUGAUUGGGCCUUUUUGGGCUCGAACACCUGACGUCUUGACCCAACUACACAUACGCACCCGUGCCGGCCCACCGCGUCUCGAGCGCUCGCCGGCGCGCCGUCGCGUCUGCGUGGUGUCCCACACUUACCAGUUCCUCCUCCGGUAUCCCGAUGGCAUCUGCGCAUGGGCUCGCGCGCCGGUGGAUGUCGUUGGGAUUUUCCACCACAGGGCCGCCGCCCUGCUUGACCAGAUCCAACCCCCGCCCCCCUUCCCCUGGUGUCGAGUCAAAGAAAGACAUAGGAGCAUGAAAGAUGCAAUGCAUCAUGCUCUUGAACAAUUUUUCUGAUGUGAGGAGGCCGGUUACCGCUACAAGAACUGCUCGAAUCAAGAUACACAAGGCGCUGCCAACUGAUAUAAAUACAUACACCAUGAACUGGAUGGAUUCCAUUUUUGAUUUGCUUCCAUUUCUUGGAUGGCAAGCUGAUGCCAUCCAAUAGUUGCUUCCCACUUCAAAUAUCUGAAAGAAGCACUGUGCUGCAAUUAUCAUAGGAAUGAAAAGUCCACCCCGAGCAGCUGUGAGGGGAAAAAGAACCUUGUAUAAAUGCCUGCCAGUUUGAGGGUCGACUGCACUGAAAGGAUCAUCAAGCAGGUAUAUAUCAGCAUCCU